GAUGAAGAACGUAGCGAAAUGCGAUAAGUAAUGUGAAUUGCAGAAUUCAGUGAAUCAUCGAAUCUUUGAACGCACAUUGCGCCCGCCAGUAUUCUGGCGGGCAUGCCUGUUCGAGCGUCAUUUCAACCAUCAAGCCCCCGGCUUGUGUUGGGGGCCUGCGGCUGCCGCAGGCCCUGAAAAGCAGUGGCGGGCUCGCUGUCACACCGAGCGUAGUAGCAUACAUCUCGCUCUGGGCGUGCUGCGGGUUCCGGCCGUUAAACCACCUUCAUAACCCAAGGUUGACCUCGGAUCAGGUAGGAAGACCCGCUGAACUUAAGCAUCUCAAUAAGCGGAGGA
RNAcentral lists this unclassified non-coding RNA (336 nucleotides) under soil metagenome. RNAcentral's name for it is "partial contains 5.8S ribosomal RNA, internal transcribed spacer 2, and large subunit ribosomal RNA". The stretch from base 1 to 120 matches the Rfam family "5.8S ribosomal RNA", at positions 35 to 154 of the family's 154-position model. The record is from RNAcentral.